CCUGUCCGUAGCUCGAAGUCACACUUGUAGAUACAGAUAUUCAAGUAAUGUAUUAGUGGGUUAUCCUGCAGCUCCUUUCAGUCAAAUUUUAAUAAGCCGUGAGUGAAGCAUUUGCAGACAAUGAAAGAUAAAACAUCAAAUUAUUAUUAUUAUGAGCAUUUAUAUAGAGCCAACAUUUUCCUCAGCACUUUACGAUAAAAAAACAACUAUUUAAAAACAAGUUUUUGACAGACAAAAGUAAAAUGGACAGACACAAAGGAUGAAGAAAACCCUGCUCAUACGAGUUUACAAUCUAGGUAUUAUCAGACACUCUUUGGACACUCAACCCAAUGAUUUGUAAAAUGAUGGGAGUCUACCAAGGUCAAGGUGAUUUGUAACAUCCUCUCUAAUGUUCUGAAUGGACUGUGCAAUAACGUGCAUCAAUCAAUAGCCGCAAACCAGGAGGCGCUGGUGUCAACUCUAUAGUUACUCUAAUGAUACAAGUUAUCAGCUUGAAUGCGUAUUUUCAUGCAGCAUGUAUUCUAUUGAAGGUUGACGAUUCAUUGGAAAUAUA
Molecule: non-coding RNA, 553 nt
Organism: Pelobates cultripes (western spadefoot toad)
Lineage: Eukaryota; Metazoa; Chordata; Amphibia; Anura; Pelobatidae
Source: the annotation of a GenBank genome assembly